This 501-nucleotide ribosomal RNA is filed under the name uncultured bacterium. Its description in RNAcentral is "partial 16S ribosomal RNA". It matches the Rfam family "Bacterial small subunit ribosomal RNA", at positions 30 to 523 of the family's 1533-position model. The record is from RNAcentral.
AUUGAACGCUGGCGGCAGGCUUAACACAUGCAAGUCGAGCGGAGAUGAGGUGCUUGCACCUUAUCUUAGCGGCGGACGGGUGAGUAAUGCUUAGGAAUCUGCCUAUUAGUGGGGGACAACAUUCCGAAAGGAAUGCUAAUACCGCAUACGUCCUACGGGAGAAAGCAGGGGAUCUUCGGACCUUGCGCUAAUAGAUGAGCCUAAGUCGGAUUAGCUAGUUGGUGGGGUAAAGGCCUACCAAGGCGACGAUCUGUAGCGGGUCUGAGAGGAUGAUUCGCCACACGGAGACUGAGACGCGGCCCAGACUCCGACGGGAGACAGCAGUGGGGAAUAUUGGACAAUGGGGGAAACCCUGAUCCAGCCAUGCCGAGUGUGUGAAGAAGGCCUUAUGGUUGUAAAGCACUUUAAGCGAGGAGGAGGCUACUGAGACUAAUACUCUUGGAUAGUGGACGUUACUCGCAGAAUAAGCACCGGCUAACUCUGUGCCAGCAGCCGCCGUAA